AUGAAGCACGCGAGGGAGGAGGAGCCGAUUGUUUCGCUGGCGCUGUCCCUCAGCACGGACUCCUCAGCGUCGACCACGACGUCGGACAGCUCGACCGGUGCGCCGGCGGCAAAGAAGAGGGUGCGACGGGGGAGGGUGGUGGUGACGUCGGGGCAAGGGGAGUUCGUGUGCAAGACAUGCGGCCGCGCCUUUGAGACGUUCCAGGCGCUGGGCGGCCACCGGACCAGCCACCUCCGCGGUCGCCACGGGCUGGAGCUCGGCGUCUGCGUCGCCAGGGCCAUCGGGGAGCGGCAAAGGCACGACGACAAGCAGCAACACGACUGCCACAUCUGCACACUGGGCUUCGAGACGGGCCAGGCGCUCGGCGGGCACAUGCGGCGGCACCGCGAGGAGAUGGCGCUCGACCGGUGGGUCGCGCUGUCGGAUCAGGAGGCGGGGCACCAGGCCGCCGCCGCCUACCGGCUGCCUGUCUUGCUCGAGUUGUUCGUUUAG
This 492-nucleotide ribosomal RNA is filed under the name Triticum aestivum (bread wheat). RNAcentral describes it as "partial small subunit ribosomal RNA". Lineage: Eukaryota; Viridiplantae; Streptophyta; Magnoliopsida; Poales; Poaceae. The record is from RNAcentral.